GAUCCAGUAUGGCAUAGUGGUUUGAGCCUUGGACUACAGCUCUGGAGACCAGGGUUCAAUUCCUAGCUUGACCA
Molecule: non-coding RNA, 74 nt
Organism: Phrynosoma platyrhinos (Desert horned lizard)
Lineage: Eukaryota; Metazoa; Chordata; Lepidosauria; Squamata; Phrynosomatidae
Source: the annotation of a GenBank genome assembly